Long non-coding RNA from Megalobrama amblycephala (Wuchang bream), 1296 nucleotides. RefSeq lists it as uncharacterized. The transcript has 3 exons. Lineage: Eukaryota; Metazoa; Chordata; Actinopteri; Cypriniformes; Xenocyprididae. The record is from RefSeq and is a predicted model, not a curated record.
GCCACAAAUCUUUAACUGAACCCUGAGCCAAAAACAGUCAUCAAUGAUGAAAUGGACGCAGGUCUCUUGCCAAAAAUUAGAGUCUGGAGGCAGAACAAAGCAUAAUAGAAAUGUUUGAAUAUUGCACAGCAAGACAUGUUGACAGCACAGAGUAAGAACCUAUUAGCAUGUGUAAUUUGUAUUCAUAUUUUAAUACUAUAUAUAAUAAGAUUAUUUAUCUUAUGGGCUUGUUGCCUUUAUUAGGCAGGGGAACAUUGAGGCGAUAGGAAAUAACUUCAAAGGUAAACAGCGCAAAGCCGACUGUCUCAAAUCCUUCCAGCAGCACUAGAGAAUGAAAGCGUACAGCGAUAUCAGUCAGGCUGGAUUCAUAUGCCACUUAAACUGCUCAUUCCCCUAAAGCUUGGCAGGUAACUCAUGCAUGACAUUCCCUGCCUCUCUCCUUCACUCACACACUCACUCUUUUCUUUCCACCCUCUCUCCGCUGGCCAAUUAUGUGUGGGCUUGGAAUUGAGUCCCUCUUUCAUUCUCUUUCUUUCACUCGCUUUCUUUCACUCGCUCCAUUUUUCAAGCUUUUCUGGUGGGAUGUUAGAUGGAUUUUUGCCACCUCAGUCCUUUUCUUCCUCGGCUGUACAUUUCAUUUCUAUUUUUCACCUUUUCUUUUAUCUUUUUCUCUCGAGGCUAGCUUUUCCAUUUGGUUUGGCGUUUUUUUCUACCUGAUCUAACCCUUACAAAUUGCUUUCACUAUAGAUUUGAUUAAGUUCCGAUAUUGUUUUGAAUUGACAAAGGUGGUUGUUAACAAGGGGCAAAUGGGACAGAGUUUGUCAAGGACAUUUAAGAUCUUCAGCCGAACAGCACAAAGCACACCCACAGACUGUACAUGUCCACACUGGCUCUAUCUCUGCACGGGACAGCUGCUCUCUACAGGGGCUAUCUCACCACUCAGCACACACAGAGACAUCACAACACAGAUACAGGUCGCACUGUAAAUGCCACUGAGAUGAAAAAGCAGACAGCAUCACGUCAUAAAUCUCACCUCACCAGAUGCAUGCAAUGAAAUAUGGAAAUGCUAGUAUCAUGGCUCAACAUAAAGGGAAUAGCAAAUUAUCAUAUACAUUGGACACGGAAAGUAUUCAGACCCCCUUAAAUUUUUCAAUCUUUGUUAUAAUGCAGCCAUUUGUUAAAAUCAUUUAAUUUCAUUUUUUUCCCUCAUUAAUGUACACACAGCACCCCAUUUUGACAGAAAAACACAGAAUUGUUGACAUUUUUGCAGAUUUAUUAAAAAAGAAAAACUGAAAU